CGAGUGCCCCAAGCGUUAUCCGGAAUCAUUGGGCGUAAAGGGUGUGUAGGUGGUUGUGUUAGUCUUCUGUAAAAUCCUUCGGCUUAACCGGGGUCCUGCAGAGGAAACGGCACAACUAGAGGAUGCGAGAGGUAAAUGGAACUCAUGGAGUAGGGGUGAAAUCCGUUGAUAUCAUGGGGAACACCAAAUGCGAAGGCAAUUUACUGGCGCAUUCCUGACACUGAAACACGAAAGCGUAGGUAGCGAAUGGGAUUAGAUACCCCAGUAGUCUACGCCCUAAACGAUGACAACUAGCUUUUCGGAGUAUCGACCCUCUGAGAGGCGAAGCUAACGCGUUAAGUUGUCCGCCUGGGUAGUACGGCCGCAAGGCUA
Molecule: ribosomal RNA, 372 nt
Filed under: uncultured organism
Description: bacterial SSU rRNA
Rfam family: Bacterial small subunit ribosomal RNA
Source: RNAcentral